UGGGUGAGAAGCUGGGAAUAGCUGCCUUUGUCUUAUCUCUCCUGGCUUUCAUCAUCAACCUGGCCGUUCUGUCUUGGCUGGGCUGGCAAAGAUUUAGUGACAAGCUGAGCACCUCUAACACAGCAGCGAAGUGUUUUCCUGGACCACAGAAAACACCAAAAGAAUGUUUGCCACAGACUGGCGGAGACGGAGAUGUGUACAUGAAUUACACAAGCA
This is a long non-coding RNA of Scomber japonicus (chub mackerel), 216 nucleotides long. RefSeq lists it as uncharacterized. The record is from RefSeq and is a predicted model, not a curated record. The transcript is spliced from 3 exons. Lineage: Eukaryota; Metazoa; Chordata; Actinopteri; Scombriformes; Scombridae.